UUAAAUUGUACUACAAAUGCCCUCUUACACCAGUUCUGUCCAUCAUAGUAGUAAUAUAAAUGAUGCUACGUUCACACAGUUUCUCGCCUCUUAAACUGCUUAAGAACAGCACAGAUAAUUUUCCUAGCUUCUGUUCAAAAUAUAAGAUAAAUCACAUUACAAAGUCCAAAUCAAACAUGAAAACAUAACUAGCACCUGAAAAUUGCAUUAAGCUCAAAAGAAGUUACUUGGGGCCAUUAAGGUUCAAGAACCCCAGUCCCAAGAAACACUGCUACAUUCAUACCAGAUGAUCUACCAGUCCUUCCAGUCAGCACACUGGUACACAAGUACACAUAAUGUAUCAGCUAGUAUAUACUGCUUGACAUAAUUACUGCUGUGGCCCAUGCUCAAUGCUAUGGAAAAAAAAGCCAAAAGAUUCUGAAAUGAAAAAUUCAAUUAACAUGUGCUGCUAUUUCCUGCGAUUAUUGUGCUGCAGUAAGCUACUAGAGAAAGCACAUGUAUGGACAAUUCCUACAAACUUUGCAGCACCUCCUGGAAAUAGCAAUAACACGACAUUUGUGGACACAGUAAAUGUGCAAUGCACAUAACAACAUUGACAAAAGAAAGUGAGUAUGUGAAGGACUAAAUCAUGCACUUGUAGCUAAUAUUUAGUGUGGACUACUGUAAUAUAUAUAACCACACAAGUGUUCUUGUUUUUUCUUUUCAAAAAGAGGGGAAAGACCCUCGGCCUCUGCGCCGAGUGAUGCACACAGCCAGGCAAGUGUCUUGUUACCCUUGCACAUAACUACACUGACAUCAUGAUAAUACGAACCGCUAAGUGUUCUUGUUACACUGAAACUGCAAGAUGGAACCGCUAAGUGUUCUUGUUACACUGAAACUGCAAGAUGGGGCCUACAGGACAUAUUCUAUCCAUGUGCCACAUAAGACACGACAGAACAUGAGUUCCCAAAUCUUACUCUGAUUAUUAGUUCCCAAACAUGGAUAAUUAGUACUAUAUGAUGAGUUAAUGACUGACCAAAACUACAGUGAACGGACCAUCGACGUCGUAGAUCCGACAGAGAAGUACAAUAAUCACCCCUUACCAUAACCUGUAGCCUAGCGCCACUAACGACAACAAUCGAGGAAAAAAAUCAAUUGAUCACAUUCACACCUAAGCACACACCCGUACGCUAGGUGGGUGAAAUCUGAUCGUGGAAUUCAAAAGAACACCUGCAAAGAUCCCCUAGACUCGCAACAAUGCACUAAUCAAAUCGGCAAUCGGGCAGAUCAGAGCCCCCAAUCAACCACAAACGUCAACACCUAGAGGCGCCUCGAUCGCUGUCCAUCAAUCAAAAACUCAAAAUCCGGGACCAGGAGGAGGAAGGAACAACGAUCGCCCCCCUCUUGCCCCUGGGCCUCCAGCCCACCGCACCGCCCCGCCACCACGGCCCACCACCUCCGCGGAGAUCCCAUAUAUACGGAGGAUCAACCACCUACGCGCACGGUCGGACGUGGCCAUGAAUUCCGAGG
RNAcentral lists this long non-coding RNA (1509 nucleotides) under Triticum aestivum (bread wheat). RNAcentral describes it as "long non-coding RNA (TAES_LNC000336)". Lineage: Eukaryota; Viridiplantae; Streptophyta; Magnoliopsida; Poales; Poaceae. The record is from RNAcentral.